AAAGUCGUAACAAGGUUUCCGUAGGUGAACCUGCGGAAGGAUCAUUAUUGUUUUGGGGAAAACUAAAACCCCACUAGGUGUCAAGCUAGUGGAGGGAGCUUGGCACUGAGGGCCCUGAAGAAAGAGGGAUUCCUUCAACCUUGCCGUUUUUUGCGCACCCUUUGUUUCCUCGGCAGCUUCGCCUGCCAACGAGGACCUCCUUAAAACCUUUUGCAAUCAGUAUAACGUUCUGAAAACAAACAAUAUUAAAACUUUCAACAAUGGAUCUCUUGGCUCUG
RNAcentral lists this unclassified non-coding RNA (278 nucleotides) under Ascomycota sp. RNAcentral's name for it is "partial contains small subunit ribosomal RNA, internal transcribed spacer 1, and 5.8S ribosomal RNA". The stretch from base 1 to 47 matches the Rfam family "Eukaryotic small subunit ribosomal RNA", at positions 1785 to 1831 of the family's 1831-position model. The record is from RNAcentral. Lineage: Eukaryota; Fungi; Ascomycota.